RNAcentral lists this ribosomal RNA (497 nucleotides) under uncultured bacterium. RNAcentral describes it as "partial 16S ribosomal RNA". It matches the Rfam family "Bacterial small subunit ribosomal RNA", at positions 28 to 507 of the family's 1533-position model. The record is from RNAcentral.
GAUGAACGCUGGCGGCGUGCCUAAUACAUGCAAGUCGAGCGAACGGACGAGAAGCUUGCUUCUCUGAUGUUAGCGGCGGACGGGUGAGUAACACGUGGAUAACCUACCUAUAAGACUGGGAUAACUUCGGGAAACCGGAGCUAAUACCGGAUAAUACUUUGAACCGCAUGGUUCAAAAGUGAAAGACGGUCUUGCUGUCACUUAUAGAUGGAUCCGCGCUGCAUUAGCUAGUUGGUAAGGUAACGGCUUACCAAGGCAACGAUGCAUAGCCGACCUGAGAGGGUGAUCGGCCACACUGGAACUGAGACACGGUCCAGACUCCUACGGGAGGCAGCAGUGGGGAAUCUUCCGCAAUGGGCGAAAGCCUGACGGAGCAACGCCGCGUGAGUGAUGAAGGUCUUCGGAUCGUAAAGCUCUGUUGUUAGGGAAGAACAUAAGUGUAAGUAACUGUGCACAUCUUGACGGUACCUAAUCAGAAAGCCACGGCUAACUACGUG